Molecule: long non-coding RNA, 203 nt
Organism: Brienomyrus brachyistius
Lineage: Eukaryota; Metazoa; Chordata; Actinopteri; Osteoglossiformes; Mormyridae
Exons: 3
Source: RefSeq, a predicted model, not a curated record
GAGCUGUGAGUGUGUCGGUAGGUAGGUGCUCUCCUCAGGCUCCUAUAGGUGUGAGCUGUGAGUGUCUCGGUAGAUAGGUGCUCUCCUCAGGCUGCUAUAGGUGUGUGUGUGUCGGUAGGUAGGUGCUCUCCUCAGGCUCCUAUAGGUGUGAGCUGUGAGUGUCUCGGUAGAUGGGUGCUCUCCUCAGGCUGCUAUAGGUGUGU